RNAcentral lists this ribosomal RNA (497 nucleotides) under uncultured bacterium. RNAcentral describes it as "partial 16S ribosomal RNA". It matches the Rfam family "Bacterial small subunit ribosomal RNA", at positions 28 to 507 of the family's 1533-position model. The record is from RNAcentral.
GAUGAACGCCGGCGGCGUGCCUAAUACAUGCAAGUCGAGCGAACAGACGAGGAGCUUGCUCCUCUGACGUUAGCGGCGGACGGGUGAGUAACACGUGGAUAACCUACCUAUAAGACUGGGAUAACUUCGGGAAACCGGAGCUAAUACCGGAUAAUAUAUUGAACCGCAUGGUUCAAUAGUGAAAGACGGUUUUGCUGUCACUUAUAGAUGGAUCCGCGCCGCAUUAGCUAGUUGGUAAGGUAACGGCUUACCAAGGCAACGAUGCGUAGCCGACCUGAGAGGGUGAUCGGCCACACUGGAACUGAGACACGGUCCAGACUCCUACGGGAGGCAGCAGUAGGGAAUCUUCCGCAAUGGGCGAAAGCCUGACGGAGCAACGCCGCGUGAGUGAUGAAGGUCUUCGGAUCGUAAAACUCUGUUAUUAGGGAAGAGCAAAUGUGUAAGUAACUAUGCACGUCUUGACGGUACCUAAUCAGAAAUCCACGGCUAACUACGUG